UUCAAAUAUAUUUAUGCGGAAAUUGACCAUUUUGGUGUUCGAAACGUAAAGAGUUGACGUUUCGAUUCGUCGUGACACGUCUGCGUCUCUUCGGGCGCCAAACUCUUUUGGGACCUCCCGGAAGGCCGCCCUUGA
This is a non-coding RNA of Caenorhabditis elegans, 135 nucleotides long. NCBI's taxonomy places the organism in Eukaryota, Metazoa, Nematoda, Chromadorea, Rhabditida, Rhabditidae. The record is from Ensembl.